Oryzias melastigma (Indian medaka) is the source of this 1811-nucleotide long non-coding RNA. RefSeq lists it as uncharacterized. NCBI's taxonomy places the organism in Eukaryota, Metazoa, Chordata, Actinopteri, Beloniformes, Adrianichthyidae. The transcript is spliced from 3 exons. The record is from RefSeq and is a predicted model, not a curated record.
UCUUUUUUCCCUUGUGUCUCAACAGAAAUGGGGAAAAAACCCAUCAGUUCUGGUCAAAAAGCAAGUUGUCACUUUGCCGAAGGCUUCGCUCUCCGCUCCGAGGGGGAAAAUAUAGUGACUACCUGGGAGAUCCCACAGAUGUACAGUUUAUCUUCACUGGCAAGCAACUUUCCCCAGUGUAUGUGGGGAGAGGGGAAAGGGGGGAAUCCUGAUACAAGCUGGAGACAGGAGUCCGUGGCCACCAUGUUCAUCACGAGAAUACGGCCUCACCUCCUCUCCGAUGAUCCAAAGUCUUCCUGACAGCGCCCCGGCAUGCAGCCUGCAUGAUGAAUCACACAGAGCGGGUAAACAGUAUUUUUAUUUUUCAUCCUGACUGACAUUCAGCAAUGGCAGAUUGGAUAUGAGUCAUCACUGAGAGAAACAGGAGCAGUGGUAAUGACUGAAGGCCACGGCCCUGUGGGGAACCCAAACCUACUGCAUAUUCACCCCCCUCACCCCCCUCACACCCCCAGCCCUGCAGGCCUGGCACAUGUGUGACAUAUAAUUGAUUCAUUAAUAAUGCGAACAGAUGUUUCUGGUCCAGUCUGGCGUCAUUCCAGCUUGCCAGCAUUUCCCCGCCACAGCUUGCCCAACUGCAUCCUAUUAAAUGCUCAUUGACACAGAAUGGAAAGAAGGUGAUUUAUUUUUAAUCCCAGACCGCGCCAAGGCAUAUAAGUGGUUUAGCCUGGAUUUGUUGUAGAUUUUAUGCAAAAGCUUGACAGGGACAUUUUCGGAACACCGUGCUUUGACUUGAUAGAAAUGGUCAGUUCAUCUGUGAAUUAGCCGAUCAUGCUGAUCGGUGUCUGUCUCAGGAUUUAACUCAGAGGUCUUGAUUAAGGAAUCGACUCAUUAUGUGCUGCAGGUGCUGGACUCAUGUUAACGUUUGUGUAACAAACAGCAUGUCUCCACAGCAAGGCAACACAAAUGGCUCUAAAACUCUUAUUGGUGAGAAUCUGGCAUCUUUUCUGGAAGUGUAUCAUUUGGUGUCAGCGUUGGUCUCAAACCCACAAAUCAUCUCAGAAAAGUAUGGUUGUUUUUUUAUAUGUUCAUGUAAAAAAAAAAAAAACUUGUCAGGUGGGUUUCUGCUGCUUCACGGCUCAGGGAUCUUUAAAAUCAAUCAAUCAUAACCUACUUUAAUUAGAUGGUACGUUCGAACUGCAGCCUGUAAAGUUUUUCACCAAAGAAAAACUUAUGAUCCAGUCUUAUUCGUGGUUUGAAUUAGGUGUGCGAUUGUGGCCCCUAUGACAUGUAGCGACCUGUCCAGGGUGUAUCCUGCCUUCACUCAGGAGUGUCCAGGUUAGGCUCCAGCAUCCCGUGACCUCGAAAGGGACAAAAUGAAAUUAGAAAACAGUUGGAUGGAAUUAGGUAUUUGUGUAUAUUUCAGUUUUCUUGCACUGUUGUCUGUAUUUCUGUCAAUCAUUGGUUGUACAGUUUAGACAGCACAGGUUUCAGUAUAUAGGUGGUUUUUGGAGGUUACCCAGUCUUCACUGCUUCACUUUGUUAAUUUAAAAAAAAAGAAUUUUCAAGUCAAUUUACAAAUGAAUAUAUCAAAUAGAUUUGACAUAUGGAUCAUUUUUUAGUUUAUUAUUGUAUUUUUCCUUGUUUUUUUUUAAUUGCUCAAAAUAAACCAACCAAUUUGGUUACAAGAUAAUCCCAAUGUUGCCAUUUUUAUCUUCAUAAAUGCUAAAUGGUUAUAAAGGGCUUUAGAAAACAGUUUCAUAUAAUCCUCUGAUCAAAGAUUGAUCACUUUACCUCUGCACCACCAUCAUCCC